CACGUAGGGUGCGAGCGUUGUCCGGAAUUAUUGGGCGUAAAGAGCUUGUAGGCGGUCUGUCGCGUCUGCUGUGAAAAUCCGGGGCUCAACCCCGGACUUGCAGUGGGUACGGGCAGACUAGAGUGUGGUAGGGGAGACUGGAAUUCCUGGUGUAGCGGUGAAAUGCGCAGAUAUCAAGAGGAACACCGAUGGCGAAGGCAGGUCUCUGGGCCACUACUGACGCUGAGAAGCGAAAGCAUGGGGAGCGAACAGG
This 253-nucleotide ribosomal RNA is filed under the name uncultured bacterium. Its description in RNAcentral is "partial 16S ribosomal RNA". It matches the Rfam family "Bacterial small subunit ribosomal RNA", at positions 524 to 776 of the family's 1533-position model. The record is from RNAcentral.